Molecule: long non-coding RNA, 732 nt
Organism: Perca flavescens (yellow perch)
Lineage: Eukaryota; Metazoa; Chordata; Actinopteri; Perciformes; Percidae
Exons: 3
Source: RefSeq, a predicted model, not a curated record
AGGAAGCUGUCAUCACACCAUCUGACAAAUUCCAUAAGGGCGCCGUUAGGAUCAGAUUGAGUCGUCUGAAAACUUCACCAAGUAGCUGUUCUCCCAAGAUGACCUGCAGUUGUCAGUGUAUAAUAUAAAAAGCAGGGGGGAAGAGUAUGCAGCCCUGGGGAGGGAUUGUGUUGGAUACAAUGACAGAGCACAUAUUUCCAUUUACAUAGACCUGCUGCCCUCUGUUUGUUAAAACAUGUAAAACUAGUAAUAAGAUCUGCUCGGGUAACUUAAAAUAUGAGGCUAGUUGUUCGAUUAGAAUGCAAGGCUUUAUUUUGUUGAAGGCUGAACUGAAGUCAGCAAAUAAAAGUCUUGCAUGUGAUGCAGGUUUCUCAAGAUGUUUAUACACCCUGUCAAGAAUGAAGAGCUUUGCAUCCUCUCACACAUGACGUUGUGCAAGACAUGCUGCAUGGACACAGUGGUUGGUUUGGAAAGCCCCAGCAAUAACAGGCAAGCUCACAUUCUGGCAGAGGCAGAGUGAUAAAAACACUGCGCCAGUACUCUCCAAGUCCAACUUUUGAUGUCAUUGUUUAAGGACAGCACACUCCAUGAAGACAGUGAGACAAAGAGAAGAACUGUGCCUUUAAUGCCCGGACACUAGCAUGAAGAACACAAGAUGGCGUCAUGAGACCACGGAAUUGAGGACAUAUUCAAUAUUAAACAAUGUUAUUGAAAACCUAGUUGACACAUGAA